CCUACGGGCGGCAGCAGUGGGGAAUAUUGGACAAUGGGCGAAAGCCUGAUCCAGCCAUGCCGCGUGUGUGAAGAAGGCCUUCGGGUUGUAAAGCACUUUCAGUGGGGAAGAAAGCCUUGGGGCUAAUACCCUCGAGGAAGGACAUCACCCACAGAAGAAGCACCGGCUAACUCCGUGCCAGCAGCCGCGGUAAUACGGAGGGUGCGAGCGUUAAUCGGAAUUACUGGGCGUAAAGCGCGCGUAGGCGGUCUGAUAAGCCGGUUGUGAAAGCCCCGGGCUCAACCUGGGAACGGCAUCCGGAACUGUCAGGCUAGAGUGCAGGAGAGGAAGGUAGAAUUCCCGGUGUAGCGGUGAAAUGCGUAGAGAUCGGGAGGAAUACCAGUGGCGAAGGCGGCCUUCUGGACUGACACUGACGCUGAGGUGCGAAAGCGUGGGUAGCAAACAGGAUUAGAUACCCCAGUAGU
This 464-nucleotide ribosomal RNA is filed under the name Vreelandella stevensii. Its description in RNAcentral is "partial 16S ribosomal RNA". It matches the Rfam family "Bacterial small subunit ribosomal RNA", at positions 338 to 794 of the family's 1533-position model. Lineage: Bacteria; Pseudomonadati; Pseudomonadota; Gammaproteobacteria; Oceanospirillales; Halomonadaceae. The record is from RNAcentral.